This 868-nucleotide long non-coding RNA is filed under the name Zea mays. RNAcentral's name for it is "long non-coding RNA (ZMAY_LNC004232)". Lineage: Eukaryota; Viridiplantae; Streptophyta; Magnoliopsida; Poales; Poaceae. The record is from RNAcentral.
CUGGAGAUCGAGGACAUGUCGCAAGAAGCUGCCGUUUGGAUCCGGCACCUGCCGCCUCGUCUCUGGGCCACGGCCUACUUCGAGGGGACGAGGUACGGUCAUCUGACGGCGAGCAUCACGGAGUCGCUGAGCUCUUGGAUAUUGGACGCCGCUGGCCUCCCUGUGACCCAGAUGAUGGAGUGCAUCCGGCGCCAGCUGAUGACCUGGUUCAACGAGCGGCGUGAGGCGAGCAUGCAGUGGAGCACGAUCCUGGUGCCCGCCGCCGAGCGCCGCGUGCAGGAGGCCAUCGAGCGCGCGCGCGGGUACCAGGUGGCCCGGGCCAACGAGGCGGAGUUCGAGGUCGUCUCGGCUCACGAGGGGACGAACAUCGUGGACAUCCGCAACAGGUGCUGCCUGUGCCGCGGCUGGCAGCUCUACGGCGUGCCGUGCGCGCAUGGCGUGGCGGCGCUGCUCUCCUGCCGGCAGAACGUCCACCGCUACGCCGAGAGCUGCUUCACCGUGGCGACGUACCGCAAGACCUACUCGCAGACCAUACACCCGAUCCCGGACAAGACGCUGUGGAGUGAGACGGCAGAUCAAGAUCAAGGCCAGGAUGGCGAGGUCAAGGCGGAGAUGGUCAUCAAUCCACCCAAGUCGCUUAGGCCCCCCGGACGGCCGAGGAAGAAGAGGGUAAGAGCGGAGGACCGUGGGCGAGUCAAGCGCGUCGUCCACUGCAGCCGCUGCAACCAGACUGGACACUUCAGAACCACAUGUGCUGUUCCGAUAUGAACAAUGGCAUGAUCAUGGUGUUGGUGUAAAAUACCCCGCUGUAACCACGAACCAGAUUCCAGACUGGACAGUUCAAGACUGGACAGUUCAGGACUUCUAA